GCUCAUUACAACAGCUAUAAUGUAUAUGAAUUUACUGAUAAAUGGAUAUCUGUGGUAAAUCUAGAGCUAAUACAUGCAUAAAAACCUUUUUGUUUUAACAAAUUGGUUAAAUUAUCGUUUCAAAACUAACGGGUUCGCCCUGUUUUGUUAACUCAUGAUAAUUAAUGACCGUUCUUUAAUGAAUGGAUAUUCAUAUUUGGUAUCUGCCCUAUCAACUAUAUGACAGUCUAUUGUACGGUCAUGGUUGUGCCGGGUAACGGAGAAUUAGGGUUCGUCUCCGGAGAGAAUGCCUUAGAAACGGCUUUCACUUCCAAGGAAGGCAGCAGGCGCGAAAAUUACCCAUUCUCAGAACGAGGAGGUAGUGACGUGAAAUGACAAGCUUUAAUUCUUACGAAUUGAAGCAUUGGAAUGGUUGAAUUUUAAAAUCAUUCAAGAUUAUCAAUGAGAGGGCAAGUCUGGUGCCAGCAGCCGCGGUAAUUCCAGCUCUCAUACUACAUUGAACUGCUGUUGCGGUUAAAAAGUUCGUAGUUGCAAAUGUACAUAUAAAUGUGGUUUAUCAUUUUAUUAUGGUAUAACUGCAUUUUGUGUUAUUUAUAUUUUCUUUACGGAAAAUAUAAUGAUACCCUGAGUAAAGCAAAGUGCUCAGAACAAGCUAUUGCUUGUAUGUUUUUGCUGGGAAUAUCAAACGAAUACAUUAGUUGACGUUUGUUGGUUUAACAGCUAUGUAAUGAUUAAUAGGGAUAAACGGGGGCAAACGUAUCGCAGGGGGAGAGGUGAAAUUCGUUGAUCCUUGCGAGACGGCCUAUAGCGAAAGCAUUUGCCAAGAAUGUUUUCUUUAAUCAAGAAC
Molecule: ribosomal RNA, 847 nt
Filed under: Panagrolaimus paetzoldi
Lineage: Eukaryota; Metazoa; Nematoda; Chromadorea; Rhabditida; Panagrolaimidae
Description: bacterial SSU rRNA
Rfam family: Eukaryotic small subunit ribosomal RNA
Source: RNAcentral